GCAGGCGUAGCUCAGAUGGUAGAGCGUCGGUCUCCAAAACCGAAGGUCGUGGGUUCGAGCCCUGCAGCCUGUG
This 73-nucleotide transfer RNA is filed under the name Bacteroides sp. RNAcentral's name for it is "tRNA-Trp". It matches the Rfam family "tRNA". Rfam says of the family: Transfer RNA (tRNA) molecules are approximately 80 nucleotides in length. Their secondary structure includes four short double-helical elements and three loops (D, anti-codon, and T loops). The record is from RNAcentral. RNAcentral also lists the same sequence under 1 other name. Lineage: Bacteria; Pseudomonadati; Bacteroidota; Bacteroidia; Bacteroidales; Bacteroidaceae.